GGUGAAAGGGGAGAGGGAGCGAGCGAGAGAAGAGGGGUUGCGCUUGGGCUGCGGUAGUAGCGGUGCCGGCUGGAACGGCCGCACGAGGAGCAGCAGGAGCGGCCGUUCCUCGAACAGGUUUUCGAGGCAGACGGAGAACGACGAAGGUGAUGCUCCUAGCCAAGCUCGGCCCGCGGAGAUGUAGCGCCCUUAGCUCGGGUAGAAGUUGGAGACAAUCGGUGGCAAACUGCGCAGCUAGGCGUGUAGAGGCUGUCGGGGGCCGGAGCGGCUCGGGAAGGGUUCGAGGCAAUGGGGCUCUGGCCACGACGGGGACACUAGCUGAUGCAGCUGCUGCUGGGGAGGAACGGUCUCGUUGGUCUACCACCUCGGGUCCUAGGUCUGCGGUGGAAGCUGCUGUUGACGAUGAUGUGACUCCCACGGAUGGUGAUGCACCUCCGGCGGCUGCUGGUCCUCAUCAAUCCUCCGAGGAUCCGUCCUCCGGAACGGAAAAGCUAGCUACAACGAAAACACGAUCAGAAGAAUUCCGUUUGAACAGAUUGAGUACAGACAUGAGUCUAUUACAACGAAGGCGAUUGAGAACACAUAAGCUCGAAUACAUAAGCUCGGGUACUCCGUGGAC
RNAcentral lists this ribosomal RNA (619 nucleotides) under Triticum aestivum (bread wheat). RNAcentral describes it as "partial small subunit ribosomal RNA". The record is from RNAcentral. Lineage: Eukaryota; Viridiplantae; Streptophyta; Magnoliopsida; Poales; Poaceae.